AGUACACUAGUGUAAAAUGGAACCGCUUCAAAUGACUUCUCAUUUUGCAGUGGGGAGGGGGAAACGCUGCACUGAGUGAAGACAAUGGCUCUUCCCCCCCACCCCCAGCUAUCACUUUGUUAUCUGAGUACUACCUCACUUGCUUGCUAAAGUGUAAAGCCACUGCCACCAGAUGUCAACAUUUAAGGGGAGAAUCCACAGGAGCUGCAAAAUGUUCAGACAAAUAUGAUUAUCUAGUUAACAGCAUCCCUCUAAAUGAAUGUUGCAUGGACAUUCUGCUUCAGAGAUCCAUAAUGCUGUCCAGAGGCAGAGAAGGUGGAGAUCAUAAAAUCAAAGCAAUAUUCAAUGGUAAGAAAAUCUCAAGGCUUUCGUCAAUGGGGGGAAAAGUUGCAGAAUAGCUUAUAACAAACUAUGAACUUAAAGUAUUACUUCAAUUUUCUUCUCUUGAGUCUAGCAGUGCAUGACAAAAAAAAAGUCAAGUCUCUGGAACAUUUUCACAAUGAGAAUAUGUAAAUAAAUUACCCACUUAUGUUGACUGAUGAGUGUUAUUUUGGUUGAAAACAAUGCAAGUCACCCUCACUUUACAAAACAAUAUAUAUCAAUAAAAUGAGUC
Mauremys mutica (yellowpond turtle) is the source of this 613-nucleotide long non-coding RNA. RefSeq lists it as uncharacterized. The record is from RefSeq and is a predicted model, not a curated record. The transcript is spliced from 3 exons. NCBI's taxonomy places the organism in Eukaryota, Metazoa, Chordata, Testudines, Geoemydidae.